AGUGAACGCUGGCGGUAGGCCUAACACAUGCAAGUCGAACGGCAGCACAGUAAGAGCUUGCUCUUACGGGUGGCGAGUGGCGGACGGGAGAGGAAUACAUCGGAAUCUACUUUUUCGUGGGGGAUAACGUAGGGAAACUUACGCUAAUACCGCAUACGACCUACGGGUGAAAGCAGGGGAUCUUCGGACCUUGCGCGAUUGAAUGAGCCGAUGUCGGAUUAGCUAGUUGGCGGGGUAAAGGCCCACCAAGGCGACGAUCCGUAGCUGGUCUGAGAGGAUGGUCAGCCACACUGGAACUGAGACACGUUCCAGACUCCUACGGGAGGCAGCAGUGGGGAAUAUUGGACAAUGGGCGCAAGCCUGAUCCAGCCAUACCGCGUGGGUGAAGAAGGCCUUCGGGUUGUAAAGCCCUUUUGUUGGGAAAGAAAAGCAGCAGGUUAAUACCCCGCUGUUCUGACGGUACCCAAAGAAUAAGCACCGGCUAACUUCGUG
RNAcentral lists this ribosomal RNA (492 nucleotides) under uncultured bacterium. RNAcentral describes it as "partial 16S ribosomal RNA". It matches the Rfam family "Bacterial small subunit ribosomal RNA", at positions 29 to 507 of the family's 1533-position model. The record is from RNAcentral.